Long non-coding RNA from Sinocyclocheilus grahami, 166 nucleotides. RefSeq lists it as uncharacterized. The transcript is spliced from 3 exons. The record is from RefSeq and is a predicted model, not a curated record. NCBI's taxonomy places the organism in Eukaryota, Metazoa, Chordata, Actinopteri, Cypriniformes, Cyprinidae.
CCAUUCCACUCCGAGCGCCGUCUGUCCCAGAGCAGUCAGAUCAGCGAGACGGGCAGCGGUAUACUCACUCCUCACUCCAGCUCUGCAGCUUUACAGGGAGACGCCGAGAAAACACACGAAUUACUGGAUAAAGACGUCAGGACGGUUGAAUUCACAAAGGUCAGUU